UACGUAGGGUGCAAGCGUUAAUCGGAAUCACUGGGCGUAAAGCGCGCGUAGGCGGCAGUGCAAGUCGGAUGUGAAAGCCCCGGGCUCAACCUGGGAAUUGCAUUCGAUACUACAUCGCUCGAGUGUGGUAGAGGGAAGCGGAAUUCCGGGUGUAGCGGUGAAAUGCGUAGAUAUCCGGAGGAACAUCAGUGGCGAAGGCGGCUUCCUGGACCAACACUGACGCUGAGGUGCGAAAGCGUGGGGAGCAAACAGG
This 253-nucleotide ribosomal RNA is filed under the name uncultured bacterium. RNAcentral's name for it is "partial 16S ribosomal RNA". It matches the Rfam family "Bacterial small subunit ribosomal RNA", at positions 524 to 776 of the family's 1533-position model. The record is from RNAcentral.